CCUACGGGUGGCAGCAGUCGAGAAUCAUUCACAAUGGGGGAAACCCUGAUGGUGCGACGCCGCGUGGGGGAAUGAAGGUCUUCGGAUUGUAAACCCCUGUCAUGUGGGAGCAAAUUAAAAAGAUAGUACCACAAGAGGAAGAGACGGCUAACUCUGUGCCAGCAGCCGCGGUAAUACAGAGGUCUCAAGCGUUGUUCGGAAUCACUGGGCGUAAGGCGUGCGUAGGCUGUUUCGUAAGUCGUGUGUGAAAGGCGCGGGCUCAACCCGCGGACGGAACAUGAUACUGCGAGACUAGAGUAAUGGAGGGGGAACCGGAAUUCUCGGUGUAGCAGUGAAAUGCGUAGAUAUCGAGAGGAACACUCGUGGCGAAGGCGGGUUCCUGGACAUUAACUGACGCUGAGGCACGAAGGCCAGGGGAGCGAAAGGGAUUAGAUACCCCGGUAGUC
This 446-nucleotide ribosomal RNA is filed under the name uncultured bacterium. RNAcentral describes it as "partial 16S ribosomal RNA". It matches the Rfam family "Bacterial small subunit ribosomal RNA", at positions 338 to 795 of the family's 1533-position model. The record is from RNAcentral.